CAGUCGCCGCGGUAAUCCGUAGGUCCCGAGCGUUGUCCGGAUUUAUUGGGCGUAAAGGGAGCGCAGGCGGUUUAGUAAGUCUGAAGUUAAAGGCAUUGGCUCAACCAAUGUAUGCCUUGGAAACUGUUAGACUUGAGUGCAGAAGGGGAGAGUGGAAUUCCAUGUGUAGCGGUGAAAUGCGUAGAUAUAUGGAGGAACACCGGUGGCGAAAGCGGCUCUCUGGUCUGUCACUGACGCUGAGGCUCGAAAGCGUGGGUAGCGAACAGGAUUAGAUACCCCCGUAGUCCCUGUCUCUUAUACC
RNAcentral lists this ribosomal RNA (301 nucleotides) under uncultured bacterium. Its description in RNAcentral is "partial 16S ribosomal RNA". It matches the Rfam family "Bacterial small subunit ribosomal RNA", at positions 509 to 808 of the family's 1533-position model. The record is from RNAcentral.